Non-coding RNA from Pelobates cultripes (western spadefoot toad), 319 nucleotides. The record is from the annotation of a GenBank genome assembly. Lineage: Eukaryota; Metazoa; Chordata; Amphibia; Anura; Pelobatidae.
CUCCUCAGCAGCAAGAAUUUAACUUGAAAGAGAAUAAAAACGAAAUAACAUAAGUAAUCUGCCUAGUAACAGGGCAGCCAAUCAUAUACACUUAUCAACAUUAAGUGUCUUGAACAGUCUUCUAACUUCCUCUUUCUUGUCUGUGUCGACGAAGAGCCGUCGUAACUUUCCAUAACUUCGGGUAUUCCACCCAGACAGUGUCCAGUACGUUACGCUGUGGAAACAAAGAGAAUGUACGGUAAAAUCCAAACUUUGGAACUGUAUGUUAUCCUUAUUCCUUAUGUUCCUUACAAUUGAUAUAACAAACUGGUAAAACAAG